AACGUAGGUGGCGAGCGUUAUUCGGAAUUACUGGGCGUAAAGCGUGUGCAGGCGGUCUAGCAAGUGGUGUAUGAAAGCUCCCGGCUCAACCGGGAAGGGUUAUGCCAGACUGCUAGUCUUGAGUGCGAGAGAGGAGCGUGGAAUUCCGGGUGUAGUGGUGAAAUGCGUAGAGAUCCGGAGGAACCCCAGAGGCGAAGGCGGCGCUCUGGCUCGCAACUGACGCUCAGACACGACAGCAUGGGGAGCGAACGGG
This 253-nucleotide ribosomal RNA is filed under the name uncultured bacterium. Its description in RNAcentral is "partial 16S ribosomal RNA". It matches the Rfam family "Bacterial small subunit ribosomal RNA", at positions 524 to 776 of the family's 1533-position model. The record is from RNAcentral.